RNAcentral lists this ribosomal RNA (262 nucleotides) under uncultured bacterium. Its description in RNAcentral is "partial 16S ribosomal RNA". It matches the Rfam family "Bacterial small subunit ribosomal RNA", at positions 793 to 1055 of the family's 1533-position model. The record is from RNAcentral.
GUCCACGCUGUAAACGAUGGAUACUAGGUGUGGGGGACUGACCCCUUCCGUGCCGCAGUUAACACAAUAAGUAUCCCACCUGGGGAGUACGAUCGCAAGGUUGAAACUCAAAGGAAUUGACGGGGGCCCGCACAAGCGGUGGAGUAUGUGGUUUAAUUCGAAGCAACGCGAAGAACCUUACCAGGGCUUGACAUGGAGAUGACCGGACUAGAGAUAGUCUUUCCCUUCGGGGCAUCUCACACAGGUGGUGCAUGGUUGUCGU